GACGAACGCUGGCGGCGUGCUUAACACAUGCAAGUCGAACGGAAAGGCCCUGCUUUUGUGGGGUGCUCGAGUGGCGAACGGGUGAGUAACACGUGAGUAACCUGCCCUUGACUUUGGGAUAACUUCAGGAAACUGGGGCUAAUACCGGAUAGGAGCUCCUGCUGCAUGGUGGGGGUUGGAAAGUUUCGGCGGUUGGGGAUGGACUCGCGGCUUAUCAGCUUGUUGGUGGGGUAGUGGCUUACCAAGGCUUUGACGGGUAGCCGGCCUGAGAGGGUGACCGGCCACAUUGGGACUGCGAUACGGCCCAGACUCCUACGGGAGGCAGCAGUGGGGAAUAUUGCACAAUGGGCGGGAGCCUGAUGCAGCAACGCCGCGUGCGGGAUGACGGCCUUCGGGUUGUAAACCGCUUUCGCCUGUGACGAAGCGUGAGUGACGGUAAUGGGUAAAGAAGCACCGGCUAACUACGUG
RNAcentral lists this ribosomal RNA (468 nucleotides) under uncultured bacterium. RNAcentral's name for it is "partial 16S ribosomal RNA". It matches the Rfam family "Bacterial small subunit ribosomal RNA", at positions 28 to 507 of the family's 1533-position model. The record is from RNAcentral.